UACGGGGGGGCAAGCGUUGUUCGGAAUUACUGGGCGUAAAGGGCUCGUAGGCGGCCAACUAAGUCAGACGUGAAAUCCCUCGGCUUAACCGGGGAACUGCGUCUGAUACUGGAUGGCUCGAGUUUGGGAGAGGGAUGCGGAAUUCCAGGUGUAGCGGUGAAAUGCGUAGAUAUCUGGAGGAACACCGGUGGCGAAGGCGGCAUCCUGGACCAACACUGACGCUGAUGAGCGAAAGCCAGGGGAGCAAACGGGG
Molecule: ribosomal RNA, 253 nt
Filed under: uncultured bacterium
Lineage: Bacteria
Description: partial 16S ribosomal RNA
Rfam family: Bacterial small subunit ribosomal RNA
Source: RNAcentral